This 1011-nucleotide long non-coding RNA is filed under the name Pectinophora gossypiella (pink bollworm). RNAcentral's name for it is "uncharacterized LOC126379319". Lineage: Eukaryota; Metazoa; Arthropoda; Insecta; Lepidoptera; Gelechiidae. The record is from RNAcentral.
GAUAUAUUAUAAUUAUAUUGUUUAAAUUUUGGGAUCAAACAAGUCGAUCGAUUGUUGUCGUUGAUUCGGCGAAUUUAUGGUUUGGUAGAUUUUUUCUAGUUUGGCAACUUUGUUCGUGGUUCUUGUGUCAGACUGACAGCUGGCUGAGCUGAGAGACAGGUUAUGGAAAGUGGGGACGUCGCGAGAGCGCCGGAGACUCCACUGCCGUAACAAUAAUGUGGGCAAAUUAAAGCCACGAUUUAUCGGCGACAUCAAGAGCCGAUGUCUCGAUUUAAAUAAAUAACUUAACCGAGAUGCAACAUCACUGAAAUCCCAUCGCCGAAGGUCCAGUGGGUGGGUUUAGGUUUCAUCCGAGCGAUGCCCAACUAUCCCGGAUGAACCUAUGGGGUUGUUUUUUGUUUUCUUUAAAGUUUUAACGUUUUAAUUUUCGAACGUUUUGCAAGUUUUAAUUUAAGAAGAAGUUUAUGAUUGGAUCAGAUGAUUUCAACAAUGAUUUUGUGAAUGAAGAUUGCUACUGUUUUCUUCUGCGUUUGCAAGUUAUUUCAAGCUUCAUUUCGGCGGAGCUUGCCUUGGUUGUUUGCACGUCGAAGCUUUCCUUUGUGCGGCGCGCAUGUGGAUGUGCCGCGCCUCACCUUUUGUCAACACUCCGGAUAAGGCCCGGUGAAGGACUGCGAGGUUGACCGGUGGACGUGCAGCCCGCCAGCUGCGUAACAGUUGGCCCGCUGCGCCGCCAUCGUCCAGCACGCCCUGGCCUGAGCCGGCCUCAACUCAUCACCUGUACGGUAUUCCGGAACGCCUCAGGUAGGCCUGAUAGUCGGAGGUCCUCGAGUAAGUGAGGUGCCUACAGGUGUACGGACAGUGUUUUGAAAUAUAGUGAUAUCCCACGGUUGUUACGGAGUGACAAUUAACCUGACGGACCAAAGCGCGACCUGUCUCCCUCCAUAGGGUUUUUGACCUACCUAUGGUUAAUGAAAUUUGUAGAUUUAAAAAAUAUACAUUGUACAAAUUCAA